UACGAGGGGUCCUAGCGUUGUUCGGAAUCAUUGGGCGUAAAGCGCACGUAGGCGGCUCCAAAAGUCGGAUGUGAAAUCCCUGGGCUCAACCGAGGAAGUGCAUCCGAAACUGCGGAGCUUGAGUAUGGAAGAGGGUCGCGGAAUUCCCGGUGUAGAGGUGAAAUUCGUAGAUAUCGGGAGGAACACCAGUGGCGAAGGCGGCGACCUGGGCCAAUACUGACGCUGAGGUGCGAAAGCGUGGGGAGCAAACAGG
This 253-nucleotide ribosomal RNA is filed under the name uncultured bacterium. Its description in RNAcentral is "partial 16S ribosomal RNA". It matches the Rfam family "Bacterial small subunit ribosomal RNA", at positions 524 to 776 of the family's 1533-position model. The record is from RNAcentral.